AACAAUUGUUGGGUUUUAUUCUGGCUCCGAGUGAACGCUGGUAACAUAUUUUAACACAUGCAAAUCUAACGGGAAUUUAAUAAUAAUUCCAGUGGUGACCUGGUGAGUAAUGUAAGAGAAUUGAAGUGUAGGUUAGGUUAAAUACCUAAUACAUUUGAAAGAUUUAUAUCGCCUACAGUAAAGCUCUUAUAGGAUUAGGUAGUUGUUGUAGUAAUUAUUCAACAAGCCGACGAUGCUUAGCUGGUUUGAGAGAAUGAUCAGCCACAUUGGGACUGAAAAGGGCCCGAGUCUUUUAGAGGGCAGCAGUGGAGAAUAUUUGACAAUGGGCGAAAGCUUGAUCGAGUAAUGUUACGUGGGUGAUCAGAAGGCUUAAUUGCCGUAAAACUCGUUUCGUCAAGGAUUAUAAUGCAAUCGUACUUGAAGGAGAAGCCCUGACUAACUUCGUGCCAGCAGUCGCGGUAAUACGGAGAGGGCAAGUGUUAUUCGCAUUGACUGGGUGUAAAGGGUGCGUAGGUGGCUUAUUAAGUUUCAAGGUAAAAAUUAAACAUAGAGUUUAAUAUCCUUUUAAUACUAAUAGGCUAGAGUUUAUUGGGAGAUAGCUGAACAUUAAGUGUAAAGGUGAAAUUUUUCGAUAUUUAAAGGACAUGCAAUAGGCGAAGGCUGCUAUCUACUUUAUACUGACACUGAGGCACAAAAGCAUAGGGAUCAAACAGGAUUAGAGACCCUGGUAGUCUAUGCCCUGACCGAUGAAUAUUGAUUAUGUUCGAUACGUAAUUAAGCUAACGCGUAAAUAUUCCACCUGAGUACUACGACCGCAAGGUUAAAACUCAAAGAAACUGACGGAAGAUUGUAUAAGCGGUGGAGUAUGUGGUUUAAUUUGAUAUAACGCAAAAAAUCUUACCAACCCUUGAAUACAAAUGCGUUUGGCUCCUGUCCAGAAAAUUCUGGACAUGAAAAAGCGCCGCGAUAUAGGUUUUUUUUAAAACCUAUUAGUUUGUACAGGUGCUGCAUGGUUGUCGGCAGUUCGUGUUGAGAAAUGUUUUGUUAAUUCAUUUAACGGACGUAACCUUCGACUGUAUUUCUUAAAUGCAUACAGUGACGUUAAUUUUAAAAUUAAUUGAAAGGAGAGGAAGUCAAAUCAUUAUGGCCUAUAUAGGUUGGGCUACACACGUACUACAAUGGUAAUUACAAUGUGAAGCAAAAACGCGAGUUAUAGCUAAUCAUUAAAAAUUAACCUUAGUUCGAAUUGUUCUCUGAAAGUCGAGAACAUGAAGUAGGAAUCGCUAGUAAUCGCAAAAUAGAACGUUGCGGUGAAUACAUUCUCAAUCUUUGUACACACCGCCCGUCACGCCAUGGGAAUUGGUUUGGUUAGAAAUUUUAUAGGGUCGAGUUUUAUGUAUAUUUGAUUUUUUUCUUUAUACGUAUACUUGACUACUAGAGGUGACAACUAGGUCAAGGACUGGGGUGAAGUCGUAACAAGGUAGCGGUAGGGGAACC
RNAcentral lists this ribosomal RNA (1497 nucleotides) under Acanthamoeba healyi. RNAcentral describes it as "16S ribosomal RNA". It matches the Rfam family "Bacterial small subunit ribosomal RNA". The record is from RNAcentral. Lineage: Eukaryota; Discosea; Longamoebia; Acanthamoebidae.